This 1567-nucleotide long non-coding RNA is filed under the name Brassica napus (rape). RNAcentral's name for it is "long non-coding RNA (BNAP_LNC013929)". Lineage: Eukaryota; Viridiplantae; Streptophyta; Magnoliopsida; Brassicales; Brassicaceae. The record is from RNAcentral.
UGCUGAACUUGCGUCUCUAAAAGGCAUCCAAAGGUUGGCUUUUCAAACUGAAUCUAUUUCUGCAAUACCUCGUGUUUACGUGGCAUAUUGAACCCACGUAUGUUCCAAGCAAAGAAAGGCGUCAUAUCUUCCUAACGGAAUAUUUUUUUGACUCCAAAUUGUAGAUGCUGCAGCUUUAAAUCUCUAACAGAUGCCACUCUCUUCUUUUGUGAUUUAUUUGACAUCGGCUGUUUAGAGCUUUUAAGUGCCUUCCGGCUGAUUUGAUCUCAUGGAUCCCUUCUUCUUCAACAUCCUUCCGGCUGGUUUGAUCUCAUGGAUCCCUUCUUCUUCAACAUCCUUCUUCUCAAGUUUGCCUGAUCCAAUGCAUCCAAAGCAGUUGUCAAUAACGGGAGAGCAUAGUCAUUCAGUAGCCAAAGUGGCAACUAGAUUGUAGUCCGCUAAUAAUUCUACUCACCUGGUCCCUUUGGGCAAAGAUAUACUUUAUGGUUGGUGAAUACCUACACCUUGAACUCGGUCUUGUGAAUAAAGCUCAGAUUCACCAUUGUGCCGCGGCUUCUUGAAGUUUGGAUCAAGAAGUCUAGACUUGGCUAGAAAUCUAUUCUAGGAGUCAACAUGGCGUUUUUCCUUCACAUCGCCUAAGUUAUAUAGCACAGGUGUAAUACAUCGUAGAUCUGUUUCUCUCUCCUCUUUCCAUUUCUUUCUCUAGGCGAUUUACGGUGAGAUUUGCUUCACCUCUCCGGUUGUCGGUCUCGACCAUCUAUGCCGUGAGAGGGCUCACUUUCUGCCUCAGACCGUCCUAGUCAUGUUAGAUGUUUUUCAACAAUGAAAUUUCAGCAACCAUUAUAUCCAAUCAUCACCGGCUUCAUAUUACAAAAAACCACAUCAAAAACAAUUCUGAUAUCAGAAAAAUUAUAAAGAAUAACAUCAGAUCUUCUUAUUUAAGUGAAUCAUUAUACUCAGAAAUUUCCUGAGCAUUCAACAACUUGGCAAAGUGUUUCUCAUUUAAUCCAAUAAAAACAAAAACAGAGUAAAACAAAAGAGAAUAUUGUUCCCCGACGUCAUAAAUUUAAUGUAGGCUAAUACAUUCACAUAAAGCUUCACAUAUAUAUAAUUCAAAGCAUGAAUCUUUAAAACAUGUAAAGCCACCACUAAAUGAAAACAAAGAACUCAGUCCCUUAGAUGUUCAUAAUGAAAAGCGAUCAUUACCGCUAUCAUUACAGGUCUGUAAAUUGACUCAUCACUGUUCUUACCCAUAAACAAAACGGAGAAAAAUAAACAAGAUAUGUAGUCGCCCAAGUCAUGAUUCCGAAUCGGCAUCAAACUAGAACUAACAGUAUGAUGCUGUGAAUUGAUCACGGAGAAAUAUAGAAUAACGAGAGCAGAUUAAUAUUGCUUCAAGGGAACGAAUCAUAUGGGAACGGACAUAUCCACAUCGACUAUCUGAUGAAGCCAUUCAAAAACUAAAAUCGAAUUAGCGAUCAACCAGAAAGCGAACUGAGAUCAAUCAAAACAAAGAGAAAUCUAGAAAAUCGGCUGAACAACUGUUUGACGAAUUGUUAGCGUGUGU